UGUUGGGUAGACUUUUAGGAGCCCCUGUUUUUCUCACCCUGUUGACAAACGCGGAAGUGGUCCACCCCAGAGGGCACCUGGGGUGAUGGAGCCUUCUGCUGGGGGACAAUGGAGCACGAGGCAUGGGAAAUUCUGCUGGAUUUUCUCUAAAUCACUGGGAUUUGGCGGCCUGCUAUUCCUGGACACGCCCAGAUGAGGAAACUGAGACUUGGAGACAAAUAAUUUAGGCUCCAGCUAUGAGCAGUAACAUCAAAGUAACAUCAAAAGCAAGCAUUGGAUUCCUGGGAUUGAUUCUCUUUGCCUCGGAGCAAUAAAGCAA
Molecule: long non-coding RNA, 319 nt
Organism: Otolemur garnettii (small-eared galago)
Lineage: Eukaryota; Metazoa; Chordata; Mammalia; Primates; Galagidae
Exons: 3
Source: RefSeq, a predicted model, not a curated record